RNAcentral lists this long non-coding RNA (1082 nucleotides) under Piliocolobus tephrosceles (Ugandan red Colobus). Its description in RNAcentral is "lncRNA (ENSPTEG00000015484.1)". The record is from RNAcentral. Lineage: Eukaryota; Metazoa; Chordata; Mammalia; Primates; Cercopithecidae.
AUUGCCGCAGACUGCUGUGUUAGCAAGGAGAGAGGCUCCGUGGGCGUGGGACCCUCCCAGCCAGGUGUGGGAUACAAUCUCCGGUGUGCCGGUGUUACAGCGCAGUAUUGGGGUGGGAGUUACCCGAUUUUCCAGGUGUUGUGUGUCUCAGUUCCCCUGGCUAGGAAAAGGGACUCCCUUCCCCCUCGCGCUUCCCAGGUGAGGCGAUGCCUCGCCCUGCUUCAGCUCUCGCUGGUCGGGCUGCAGCAGCUGACCAGCACCGAUUGUCCGGCACUCCCGAGUGAGAUGACCCCAGUACCUCAGUUGAAAAUGCAGAAAUCGCCGGUCUUCUGUGUCGCUCGCGCUGGGAGAUGGAGACUAAAGCUGUUCCUAUUCGGCCAUCUUGCUCCCGUUAUCGACUUGUGCAUCAUGAAUGCAGAGUUAUCAAGGACUGAAGAACCCUCAGAAAAGGCUGUGGAAGAGUCUCCUUGCUGUUGCACUUCCCCUGAUGCUUCUGACCCCAACCCUGGACAUGGUCACCAUGGCUCAUAGACAUGAGUCACUGAGUGUAUAGGUGUGGAUCUGAGGGAUUUGGGGUUGGGUUCCCAGCUUGUUUAUAGAUUUGACUUCGUAAUGGUGAUUUGUGUUUAUUUCAGUGCUUGAGUCAGGAGGUUUGCCUGACAUCCUGAAGACCAAGGUCUUCUCUGUGGGGAACAGUCUAGCACUUGUGACAGCUCUGAGAGUGUUUUUAAGAACAGGUUGAUGCGUAUGCUCUGUAUUAAUUUUUUUAUAGAUUUGAGGGUGGGUAGUCAGCCAUGCUCUGUUCAUCUUUGGAUCUUUUGCUGAAUUCUUAGUUAAGUUUGUAAUCUACAUUAAUGGCAACAGAAGGGUAAACUGACUAGGAGGGUUAUUACAUACUGGUUUGUGUUGCCAAGGGAGGCAGCACAAUCCAUUUUCUGGAUGGUUUUGGCACGAUUCUUCCUAGCACCUCAGAGAUGGGCACUGUGAUGUUAUAUACACUCUUGUGCCUGGUUAUUAAUCUGGAUGUUUUGGAUGAACAUAAAGUAAAACAUGCAGGGAACCGCUAAUGCAUUGUAAGGUGG